Molecule: long non-coding RNA, 597 nt
Filed under: Sorghum bicolor (sorghum)
Lineage: Eukaryota; Viridiplantae; Streptophyta; Magnoliopsida; Poales; Poaceae
Description: long non-coding RNA (SBIC_LNC013842)
Source: RNAcentral
CGGAGUAUCACUUCUUUAUCAAUUCAUAUCUUUGAUCUGGGUGAACAAAAAUCAUGAGAAAAUUCUGGAUGAUAGUGGACUUCAAGAGUUUUCUCUGACCUCAAGAAUCACCCCCAUAGCUAUUUUGGUAUUGGAGUUAUGAAAAUCACAAGAUGAUACAAUUGUGCUGUCGAGAACCUGGACCAGUUUUGGUUGCUUACUGUUUGGGACAAAUACAACUAUAGAUUUUGGAAAGGUGUUCUACAGCAAAGUUUUAGAUAAGUUGCCAAGCUUUCUAACGGUAUAAGCUAUAACCCUAUUGGAUUAACAGAACAAGAGUUAUGUCCAUUUUACUGUGCUGGUGAUGAUCUUAUCGUGAGGAAAUUUCAGGAUAUUUAAUUCUUCCUUGCACAUAAGUUCCUUGGGAUGUCAAAAGGUCUCAGUGCAAAAUAAUUUGUCAAGAAAAAGUGCAAGCUACCUUCCUUGUGCCUCCUAGUCAACCUUUCUUAAGGGGGGUAGUACCAUGAUAUCAUGGGUUGAUGCAUUUUCAACUUAUCUUGAAGUGAGAGUUGUCUCUUGAGAUAUUCUAUGAUUAUGAUCAUCUCUCCUUGUCGUGUU